UAGCGGCGAGCGAACGGGGAUGAGCCCAGAGCCUGAAUCAGCAUGUGUGUUAGUGGAAGCGUCUGGAAAGGCGCGCGAUACAGGGUGACAGCCCCGUACACAAAAGCGCAUAUGCUGUGAGCUCGAUGAGUAGGGCGGGACACGUGGUAUCCUGUCUGAAUAUGGGGGGACCAUCCUCCAAGGCUAAAUACUCCUGACUGACCGAUAGUGAACCAGUACCGUGAGGGAAAGGCGAAAAGAACCCCGGCGAGGGGAGUGAAAAAGAACCUGAAACCGUGUACGUACAAGCAGUGGGAGCCCCACCACUAAGCCAGUGGUGAACUCCACAUACGCAUCCUUUGCUGAGGAUGCGGUUAACGGAGCGAAAGCGACGUUCAACCGCAAAAGAAGCAGAGGGGGCUUAGUGGUGGGGUGACUGCGUACCUUUUGUA
RNAcentral lists this ribosomal RNA (431 nucleotides) under Salmonella enterica subsp. enterica serovar Schwarzengrund. RNAcentral's name for it is "bacterial LSU rRNA". It matches the Rfam family "Bacterial large subunit ribosomal RNA", at positions 244 to 612 of the family's 2925-position model. The record is from RNAcentral. Lineage: Bacteria; Pseudomonadati; Pseudomonadota; Gammaproteobacteria; Enterobacterales; Enterobacteriaceae.